RNAcentral lists this unclassified non-coding RNA (433 nucleotides) under soil metagenome. Its description in RNAcentral is "partial contains 5.8S ribosomal RNA, internal transcribed spacer 2, and large subunit ribosomal RNA". The stretch from base 1 to 120 matches the Rfam family "5.8S ribosomal RNA", at positions 35 to 154 of the family's 154-position model. The record is from RNAcentral.
GAUGAAGAACGUAGCGAAAUGCGAUACGUAAUGUGAAUUGCAGAAUUCAGUGAAUCAUCGAAUCUUUGAACGCAUAUUGCGCUCUCUGGUAUUCCGGAGAGCAUGCUUGUUUGAGUAUCAGUAAACACCUCAACUUCCAUAUCUUUUUUGAAAUGGGAGUUGGACUUGAGUGAUCCCAACGCUUUUCCUCACCGAAAAGUGGCGGGUUAGUUGAAAUGCAGGUGCAGCUGGACUUUUCUCUGAGCUAUAAGCAUAUCUAUUUAGUCUGCCUAAAAAACAGAUUAUUACCUUUGCUGCAGCUAACAUAAAGGAGAUUAGUUCUUGUGCUGACUGAUGCAGGAUUCACAAAGACAGGCUUCGGCCGACUUUGUAAACUCGAUCUCAAAUCAAGUAAGACUACCCGCUGAACUUAAGCAUAUCAAUAAGCGGAGGA